RNAcentral lists this ribosomal RNA (157 nucleotides) under uncultured bacterium. Its description in RNAcentral is "partial 16S ribosomal RNA". It matches the Rfam family "Bacterial small subunit ribosomal RNA", at positions 355 to 509 of the family's 1533-position model. The record is from RNAcentral.
UGAGGAAUAUUGGUCAAUGGGCGCGAGCCUGAACCAGCCAAGUCGCGUGAGGGAAGACGGUCCUAUGGAUUGUAAACCUCUUUUGUCGGGGAGCAAAAGGCGCCACGUGUGGCGUUCCGAGAGUACCCGAAGAAAAAGCAUCGGCUAACUCCGUGCC